Homo sapiens (human) is the source of this 848-nucleotide long non-coding RNA. RefSeq lists it as uncharacterized. The transcript is spliced from 3 exons. The record is from RefSeq and is a predicted model, not a curated record. Lineage: Eukaryota; Metazoa; Chordata; Mammalia; Primates; Hominidae.
GACCACAGCUAUUAAAACAAGCAGUGGCAAAUAUAAAGAUAUUUGGACAGUACAGGAGAUACAUAGUGUUAGGAAAGUAUAGAACUUACAUAAAGAAAAUAAGUUGCCUCUAGAGCAUUAACCUCUGGGCCCCUGAGUAUUCCAAGGUUAGUUUUUUUAGAGAAAUAAUUUUUAAAGUGGCUGUAGAUUGAUCGAGGAGAUUGGAUAGAAGGUUAUAGAGAGAACCAAGGAAAAGGUCCUUCAACCUCCUGUUCGUGAUGUGGGCUUUCUCUACUGCUGUCAUCCUCUCUUAUCAAACUGUGUUGCCAGAACGGGCAAGGGCCACAGCCAUGGAAGAGGGGCUACCAAAUGGAACUCCAACCUAAGGGCUGGGACCAGGAUCUACCCAUCCCCAUCAAGCGAGGAUUGAUACUAACUACAGCCACUCCUGCGGGGGCCCAGGGCCUCAUUAUCCUAGGGGAAGAGGAGAUGGAGGUGAGAGGAAGAGGAUGGAUGAAUGUGGAAGGCCUUCUGCAGCUUAGCAUGCAAUGGUCAUUUCCUGUAUGCAAGGUCUUCUGCUAUGUUCUGUGCAGGAAAUCAAGAAUGAGAAACAAUUUUGGCCCUAGAGGCCUUACAAAUAUAUCUUCCUAAUUACAAGGUUAUAGUCCUUUGGGAAUUGCAAGUUCCCUUGAAAAUUCACACAAUCCUAACAUGUGUUGUGCCUAGUUUGAUGUGUUCUUAAACUAUUACUAGCUAACACUUCUUACUGCAGAAUUUCUGUGGAAAUGAGACAUAGGUAUUUCUACAGGAUAAAUGAGACGAGUGAAAAGAGGUGUUGAAAAGGAAAACGAAAGGAUGAAACAGAUACA